This 400-nucleotide ribosomal RNA is filed under the name uncultured bacterium. RNAcentral's name for it is "bacterial SSU rRNA". It matches the Rfam family "Bacterial small subunit ribosomal RNA", at positions 356 to 773 of the family's 1533-position model. The record is from RNAcentral.
GGGGAAUAUUGCACAAUGGGCGAAAGCCUGAUGCAGCAACGCCGCGUGAGUGAUGAAGGCCUUCGGGUUGUAAAGCUCUGUCUUUGGGGACGAUAAUGACGGUACCCAAGGAGGAAGCCACGGCUAACUACGUGCCAGCAGCCGCGGUAAUACGUAGGUGGCAAGCGUUGUCCGGAUUUACUGGGCGUAAAGGGUGCGUAGGUGGAUAUUUAAGUCAGAUGUGAAAUUCCCGAGCUCAACUUGGGAACUGCAUUUGAAACUGGAUGUCUGGAGUGCAGGAGAGGUAAGUGGAAUUCCUAGUGUAGCGGUGAAAUGCGUAGAGAUUAGGAAGAACACCAGUGGCGAAGGCGACUUACUGGACUGUAACUGACACUGAGGCACGAAAGCGUGGGUAGCAAAC